AGUGAACGCUGGCGGUAGGCCUAACACAUGCAAGUCGAACGGCAGCACAGGAGAGCUUGCUCUCUGGGUGGCGAGUGGCGGACGGGUGAGGAAUACAUCGGAAUCUACUUUUUCGUGGGGGAUAACGUAGGGAAACUUACGCUAAUACCGCAUACGACCUACGGGUGAAAGCAGGGGACCUUCGGGCCUUGCGCGAUUGAAUGAGCCGAUGUCGGAUUAGCUAGUUGGCGGGGUAAAGGCCCACCAAGGCGACGAUCCGUAGCUGGUCUGAGAGGAUGAUCAGCCACACUGGAACGGAGACACGGUCCAGACUCCUACGGGAGGCAGCAGUGGGAAAUAUUGGACAAUGGGCGCAAGCCUGAUCCAGCCAUACCGCGUGGGUGAAGAAGGCCUUCGGGUUGUAAAGCCCUUUUGUUGGGAAAGAAAUCCAGCUGGCUAAUACCCGGUUGGGAUGACGGUACCCAAAGAAUAAGCACCGGCUAACUUCGUGCCAGCAGCCGCGGUAA
Molecule: ribosomal RNA, 506 nt
Filed under: uncultured bacterium
Lineage: Bacteria
Description: partial 16S ribosomal RNA
Rfam family: Bacterial small subunit ribosomal RNA
Source: RNAcentral